AAAAGAAACUAACAAGGAUUCCCCUAGUAACGGCGAGCGAAGCGGGAAGAGCUCAAAUUUGAAAGCUGGCGUCUUCGGCGUCCGCGUUGUAAUCUCGAGACGUGUUUUCCGUGCGGCUCUAUGGACAAGUCCCUUGGGACAGGGCAUCGUAGAGGGUGAAAAUCCCGUACUUGCCAUGGAAGUACCGUGCUUUGUGAUACACGCUCCAAGAGUCGAGUAGUUUGGGAUUGCUGCUCAAAGUGGGUGGUAGACUCCAUCUAAAGCUAAAUAUCGGGGAGAGACCGAUAGCGAACAAGUACCGUGAGGGAAAGAUGAAAAGCACUUUGGAAAGAGAGUUAAAAGUACGUGAAAUUGUCGAAAGGGAAGCACUUGAAGUCAGCCAUGCUGCUUGAGACUCAGCCUGGCUUUUGCUUGGUGUAUUUCUCGGUAGCAAGCCAGCAUUGGUUUGUGUCGUCGGAGAAGCGUAUGGGGAAUGUGGCAUCCUCGGAUGUGUUAUAGCCCUGUGCAGGAUACGACGACGUAGACCAAGGAACGCAGUGUGCCCUCUGGGCGGGUCUUCGGACACCUUCACACUUAGGAUGCUGGCGUAAUGGCUUUAAGUGGC
RNAcentral lists this ribosomal RNA (604 nucleotides) under uncultured eukaryote. RNAcentral's name for it is "eukaryotic LSU rRNA". It matches the Rfam family "Eukaryotic large subunit ribosomal RNA", at positions 57 to 648 of the family's 3401-position model. The record is from RNAcentral.